This is a long non-coding RNA of Ahaetulla prasina, 311 nucleotides long. RefSeq lists it as uncharacterized. The transcript is spliced from 2 exons. Lineage: Eukaryota; Metazoa; Chordata; Lepidosauria; Squamata; Colubridae. The record is from RefSeq and is a predicted model, not a curated record.
CAGGGGAAUUAAGAAACUGUAGGAUGGAUGGUGGUUUCUGUCAGACUGGUCUUGACAAAGAGUGCGAGUAUGGAAGUCUCCCAUACAACUGUGGCAUUAAUGCUCUCUGCUGCAAGCGUGGACCGCACCACCAAUGACAAGCACCUGUGAAACCCUGGGAGGUUAUUGCCAUGUUCCCUAACAAGAACCUUGCCUCUCAAGUGUGGAAUAUUCAGCAAUUGGGAUAUUAAUGGAAGAUGUUGCAAACUGUUACAUAACAGCAAGCAGUGAAACAACAUUGUAAUUAAACAAAUUAAUAAAUUUGGGCCACA